GGAGCAGUUCGCGAGGACAGCAAUCCAUAAACCGUGGCUCAGUUCAGAUCGUAGGCUGCAACUCGCCUACGUGAAGGAGGAAUCGCUAGUAAUCGCAGGUCAGCAUACUGCGGUGAAUACGUUCCCGGGCCUUGUACACACCGCCCGUCACACCAUGGAAGUUGGCCACGCCCGAAGCCGUUACUCCAACCCUUGUGGAGGAGGACGUCGAAGGUGGGGCUGAUGACUGGGGUGAAGUCGUAACAAGGUAUCCGUACCGGAAGGUGCGGAUGGAUCACCUCCUAA
RNAcentral lists this ribosomal RNA (285 nucleotides) under uncultured Synechococcus sp. RNAcentral's name for it is "partial 16S ribosomal RNA". It matches the Rfam family "Bacterial small subunit ribosomal RNA", at positions 1244 to 1533 of the family's 1533-position model. The record is from RNAcentral. Lineage: Bacteria; Bacillati; Cyanobacteriota; Cyanophyceae; Synechococcales; Synechococcaceae.